GGGGACUGACUGCAAAGGCAGAGAGAGACACAGCGAGGGAGGGAACACAAGCAGGAGGAGUGCAAGAGGAAGAAACAGGCUCUCUGCUGACUAGGGAGCCCAACAUGGGACUUCAUCCCAGUACCCUGGGAUCACGACCUGAGCCAAAGGCAGACUUACUGACUGAGCCACACAUGUGCCCAUGGAUCGUGAUUUUUAUCAUGUUUCCAUUUACCUUACCUUUUGAUCAUUGUAGCAGGAAGAUGGGUCUUACAGAAUAACAGCGGAUUAUUAUAAAUUUAAUCAAGUAGCAUAUCUAAUUGUAUCUGCUCUUCUAGAGUAUGCAGACAUCAAAAUCCCUAUCUUCAUGUUCCUUCCGUUCAAUUUCCUGGAUCUGUACAAAGACCUACUCAAUGGAUCCCUUAAAAAUGCCAUCUCGUAUCUCACUGAUCCUCCAUAUGACAAAAAGAAGCAUGUUACACUAGAUAACUUGGUAAGACAAUGUAUAUAAAAAGAAUGAAGAAAAUCCAAGAUGAUAUCAGGAUCUGAAACUUCAGUAAAGUUUCUGGGAGUCCACUGAUUUGGGACAGGUUGAAAUAGCACCCCCAACGUGCAGGUAAAGUUACUAACCUUCUACCCUUUCUCACAGGGGAAAAAAAAAAAAAAAAGCAAAAGAUUUCAUGGCCUUCUUCUGGAAUUGGAGAAACAUUCCCAUUAAUGUGUUUCUCUGACACAUUGACUGAACCUAAAAGCUUCUUACUUUGAGUGGGACACAAAUCAGUAGAGAGCUUUCUAUCUGGUAUGAACCAUAGUUCAAGCAGCUCUGCUACUUGGCCUUUAUGACUCAUCAGAUCCAAAGUGUUUAAAAUAUCAAAUGAGAAAAUAAGGAUGCUGAAUAGAGCCAAUGGCAAAUACCAAUACAAGAGUCAUGUAGUGGCCCCUAGGGGUUUUGGUGAAGGUCAUGCCCUUUUCUGCAAAUCAUUAUUUCCCUUAAGAGAAACACCUUGCUGUUAAACUCUGACAGAGACUAAUUGUGCAGUCACGGGACACCAGAUGACCAUUGUGACUGGAUUAUCUCAUCUUCCUCACCAUAAACUGAGUUCACCCUGGAGCAUAUUAUCAUCAAGUAGAAGUGUUUUUCUAUAGGUCUCAAAGGACAAACACAUUCUAAAAGCAUAAGCUGUAUGAGCAAGUGGUUAAUAAUUCCAUCAUGCCUACCUCUGACCUAAUGCCAGCCCUCUUCAGCUAAUACUUAGGAUUCUGGAGAGUGACCUGUGAAUGACUGACUACAGAGGAAAAAAUCUAGAACUGGGUUUAGAGAAGAUUCUGCAUGAUUUUCAAGCACCAGCUAAAAGGGUUGUUGAAAUGUUUCAUACACAUUUAGGGGUGCUCCUAAGGGACAGUGAAGAAGGGAAACCUCACUCUGAAUAGAAAUUUGAAAUCUCUUUUUCCAGUUUUCUUGUCAAUAGCAAUGGUCUGAGAUUAGAUCUAUACAGAUGCACUGGGACCUGCUAAUGGUCUGGACAGACAUUCAGAUAUCUGGAGACUAGAGGAUUAAGGGUGAAGUUCGCAGAAAGGUAUGUAAAUAUCUGAAUGGAUUCCGAUUGUGAGAAUUUCCAUAGACUACAUGAAUGCUCAUCAAGAGACCACAGGGAGAAACUGGAAAGAUGAACAAGCCACAUCUCCUUACUGCCUCCCCAGUGUUUGCUGAUUAGCUCAUGAGCAACAUGGUGAUAUUGGCAGAAACGAAAACUAUACAUGGACUCCAUAACAUGAACUUAACACUUAUCAAGGCUACUUGACAACUAAAGAAUGAAGUCAUCAAAAAGAAAAACAGAGCUGAAAGCUGUGGAGAUAGAAGAAAAGCCUUGAUGCUUAAAACUAGAUCCAGCUAUACCUGAAGUCUAGAUUUUUCACUUAUAGGAGCCAAUAAAUUAUCUUCUCAGAUUUCACUGGUUGAAUUGGUUUUCCAACACCAUAUUAUCAAAGAGUACUCUUUUACACAAGUCAUGAUGUUGAAUUACUAUAUUCAGCUAAUUUGGGGAACAGAGGUACUACAAAGAUGCUGGUGUCUUUUCCAUUUCAGAGGGAAAAUAUUCAUAUUUUCCUCUCUCUCAGGAACCAUUAGCAUGUGUUUGUGCAGACCAUCACCCAAACUAUGAGAUUUCUUGAGGAAAAAAUUAGCAAUUCUUUUCUUUGGUACAUCAAUACUGUAUUUUCUUGGUGGGAGAAAAAACUAAAUAAAAAUUCAAAAUAAAGACAAAAAUAAGAAACAAUAAUUUAUUUUUUAAAUUUUUUCUUAUACAGUAAUUAGUGUUGCUAAUAUUUUGUCAUAUAUCACUUCAGUCUUUUUCUACAUUUUUUUUCAAAACUGUAAUCUUAAUGUAAGUAUAUUUUAUGUUUUUUUUUAAACUACUACCUCUUGAACACCAUUUCAUGUUUCUCCACAUCAUUUUUUGGAAAGACACCAUUCUUUAACUUUUUAUGGAAGUAAGUUUACAGUGAAAUUUCCAAUUUUAAGUAUAAAUUUAUGAGAUUUGACAUAUGAACAAUGUUGUUUAACCACCACCUCAGUCAUGAUAUAGAAUCCAUCAUCCAAAAAGUUACCUUUUGUAAUCCCUAUCAAAAUACCAUCAAUUUUUUUCAAAGAAAUGGAACAAAUAAUACCAAAAUUUAUGUGGAACCAGAAAAGACCCCAGAUAGUCAGAGGAAUGUUGAAAAAGAAAGCCAAAGCUGGCAGCAUCACAAUUCCAGACUUCAGGCUCUAUUAAAAAGCCGUAAUCAUUAAGACAGUAUGAUAGACACAUAGAUCAAUGGAACAGAACAGAGAGCCCAGAAAUUGACCUUCAACUCUAUAGUCAACUACUCUUCAACAGAGCAGGAAAGAAUGUCCAAAUGGAAAAAAAACAGUCCCUUCAACAAGUGGUGUUGGGAAAAUUGGACAGCCACAUGCAGAACGAAACUGCACCAUUUCCUUAUACCAUUGACAAAAAUAGACUCAAAAUGGGUGAAAGACCUCAAGUGAGAUAGGAAUCCAUCAAAAUCCUUAAGGAGAACAAAGGCAGAAACCUAUUCAACCUCAGCUGCAGCAGCUUCUUCCCAGAAACAUCACCAAAGGCAAGGGAAGCAAGGGCAAAAACUAAGUAUUAGGACUUCAUCAAGAUAAAAAGCUUUUGCACAGCAAAAGAAAUAGUCAACAAAACCAAAAGACAACUCACAGAAUGGGAGAAGAUAUCUGCAAGUGACAUAUCAGAUAAAGGGCUAGUAUCCAAAAUCUAUAAAGAACUUAUCAAACUCAACACCAAAGAACAAAUAACCCAAUCAAGAAAUGGGCAGAACACAUGAACAGACAUUUCUGCAAAGAAGACAUCCAAUGGCCAAUAGAGACAUGACAAAGAAGACAUCCAAAUGGCCAAUAGACACAGGACACAUGACUCAGCAUCAGCGAAAUACAAAUCAAAACCACAGUGAGAUACCACCUCACACCAGUCAGAAUGGCGAAAAUUAACAAGUCAGGAAACUACAGAUGUUGGUGAGGAUGCGGAGAAAGAGGAACCUUCCUACACUGUGGAUGGGAAUGCAAGGUGGUGCAGCCACUCUGGAAAAGAGCAUGGAGGUUCCCCAAAAAGUUGAAAAUAAAGCUACCCUAUGACCCAGCAAUUGCACUACAGUCUAUUUACCCCAAAGAUACAAAUGCAGUGAUCCAAAGGGGCACGUUGCACCCCGAUGUUUAUAGCAGCAAUGCCAAACUAUGGAAAGAGCCCAGAUGUCCAUUGACAGAUGAAUGGAUGAAGAAUAUUUGGUAUGUAUGUAUGUGUGUGUGUGUGCAUAUAUAUGCACACACAUAUGGAAUGGAAUGUGGAUGGAAUAUAUAUAGAAUGGGAUGUAGAUACAUGGCAAUGGAAUAUAUAUAUAUAUGGAAUAUUAGGCAGCCAUCAAAAAAUGAAAUCCUGCUUUUUGCAAAAAUGUGGAUGGAACUAGUGGGUAUUAUGCUAAGCGAAAUAAGUCAAUCAGAGAAAAACAAUUAUCUUAUGAUAUCACUGAAUGAUAUGUGGAAUUUGAAGAACAAGGCAGAGGAUCAUAGGGGAAAAAAGGAAAAAAAUGAAAUAAGACAAAGCCAGAGAGGGAGAUAAACCAUAAUAAUAAUAAAAAGUUACCUUCCCCUUUUCAAUCAACUUCUGAACUUUUGCCCAUUUCCAAAAAUAAUUAUUUUCUAUUUUUUCUACCCACCUUUUCCUAGGAUUCCAUAUUGCUAGUAACACAUGUGUUAGACUGCUUUCUUUUGCCUCACACAUCACUGAUGCUUUUUUCCUUUUUAACUUUUUUUAUACCUUUGCUUCAUUUUGGAUAGUUUGUAUUGCUGUGUCUUCAAACUGAUCUCUUUUUCUACAGUGCCUUCUGCUGUUAAUCUAAUCCAAUGUAUUUCUCAUUUCUUAUAUUUUAUUUCUCAUCUCUAAACUCUGUCUUCUCACUUAAGUUCCUUUCAUUAUCAUGUUCUCCUUACCUCUUUGAACAUAAAAAAUAUAGUAAUAAAAGCUGUUUUGAUGUCCUCUUUUUGCUUGUUCCUGCAUUUUUGUAAUUUCUGAAUUUCUUUCUAUUGGCUGUUUUUUUCUCUGACUGUGGGUUUGUAUGUUUCUACUUCUAUGCAUGACCAAGAAUUUUUUAUUGAUUGCCAGGAAGAGUGAAAUUUACAUCCCUGGUUGCUGGAUUCUGUUCUGAUGUACAGUUAUUUGCAACCAGCUGCAACCUUUUUAGUUUUGCUUUUAAGCUCUGUUAGAGAAGGUCCAGAGCAGCCUUUAGUCAAGUCCAAUUUAUCUCCAUUAUUAAAGUGGUAACUUUCCAAGUAUUGUGCUCUGUGAAAUCUUUGAGCUCUAGCUGGUAAAAACAUGAAUAUUUGCCAACCCUGUGUUCUCCAAAUAUUCUUCUACUCAUCCUUCUAGCAGUUACUUCCUUGGCCUCAAUAUCCUCUCACAUGUGCACAGAUCACUACUCAAACACUCCAGGGGAUCCCUCUAGAGAUCUCUGGAGCUCUCUCUUUUUGAGUUCUUUCCCCUUAGUACUCCACUCUAAAAAUUCUGGCAGCCUUGACUUCCCCAAACUCUGACUUCCAUCUCUUUAAUUCAGCAAGACUAGCAGAGACUUUCCCUCCCCCCCCCAUCUCAUUUCCUCUAGAUAAUAACCUAGUAUAAUCUUAUACUCAUCUGGUUUAUUUCUUUUUUGUCAGUCCUACACUGCUUGUUGUCCGAUACUUAAAAAUUACUCUGUAUAAUUUCUCUGGUACUUUUCAGUUAACAUAGUAGAGUAAAUCCAAACCCAUAAUUCCAUCCUGGCUGAAGCUGAAGUCUACAAUAUCAUUCUCCACCACCCCCUGCCUUCUUUUUUCCUUUUAUUUAUUUAUUUUGAUUAUUAACAUAUAAUGUAUUAUUUGUUUCAGGGGUACAGGUAUGUGAUUCAUCGGUCUUACACAAUUCACAGUGCUCACCAUAGCAUAUAACCUCCCCAAUGUCCAUUACCCAUCCCCCUCACCUCCAACAACCCUCAGUUUGUUUCCUGAGGUUAGGAGCCUCUUAUGGUUUAUCUCCCUCUCUGGCUUUGUCUUGUUUCAUUUUUUUUUCUUUCUUCCCCUAUGAUUCUCUGCCUUGUUUUUAAAAUUCCACAUACCAUUCAGUGAGAUCAUAAUUUUUUUUCUCUGGUUGACUUACUGCGCUUAGCAUAAUACCCACUAGUUCCAUCCACAUUGUUGCAAAAAGCAGAAUUUCAUUUUUUGAUGGCUGCCUAAUAUACCAUGGUGUAUAUACACAUAUACGUACAUACCACAUCUUCUUUAUCCAUUCAUCUGUCGAUGGACAUACAAACUCUUUCUAUAGUUUGGCUAUUGUAGAUAUUGCUGCUGUAAACAUUGGGGUGCACAUGCCCCUUUAGAUUACUGCAUUUGUAUCUUUGGGGUAAACACCCAGUAGUGCAAGUGCUGGGUCCUAGGGUAGCUCUAGUUCAAAUUUUUGGAGGAACCUCCAUGUUGUUUUCCAGAGUAUAUAGCAACAUUCUUAAUGAGUGCCUAGAAUUCCAUGGAAUGGAUGUAUCAUCUGGACUAUAGGUAUUUGAUGGGAAAAACCCUACCUGGUUCGCCAUUGUACCCAAAGAUACUGAGGAAUGAUGGAAUUUGGCAUAUACCAGGAUUCAAUAAUAUGUAUUGACUGAAUAAAUUAAUAUUGAGACUAUUUCUUUUCAUUUCUUAAUAUUAAAAUGCCAAAUGCACAUUUUUGUUGCUAAAUUCUACCAAAAUCUAUAGUAAUAAUUAUUUAUUUAGGAUACACUUCUCUAAGUAAAAAUUCUGGUUCAAAGAAAAGGCAGGUUUUAAGGCAUUAAUGUUUAUUUCCAAGUUGACCAAAUAGAAUCAUUUUACAGGCUCACUGGCCAAUAAGCUCUUUUGAAUACUUAUUUUUCUUUAUUCUUCACAAAAUUGAGAUAUUUCAUUUUUAAAAAGUCUUUAUUAAUUUCAUAGGUUUGAAGGUCAUCUAAUUUUAGUAGUUAUUUUUAUUUAUUUGAUUACUAUUUAGAUGGAUCAUUUUUAUGUUUUUGUUUUCAUUUGUAAUCCUGAGUGUCUAUUAUGCAAAAGUUUUAUGAUUUUUUUAAACAAAAUAGACUGUGGGAAUUCUUAAUCACUAUAACAUUCAUCCUAUAUUCAGUGCAAUGUCCAAAGUUUAGAGGGAUAUUUGUUUUUAAUCAUUGUUUUUCUAUCAUCAUGUUUAAGUCAGCUCAAAACCAGCAAGCUCAUUUAGUACUCCAAACAAUGGACAAUAUGUUCAAAGGAUCCAGAAGUCUGGCAGAAUCAAAUAGCAAAAAGUCAAAGAAAAGAAUUCUAAUUAAAAGCACUUUUCACGGGUCAAAAGUGUAAGCUCAUUAAUGUUUUACCGUGCAGAUGGCAUUAAUAAGUAACCAAAGAUGCAUGAUCAUCAUUAUUGUCCCCACCAUUAUUCCUUUGAUAUAAAUGGCUCAGUAGAUGUGAGGCACUUACCCAGAUGAAGAGAUUCAAUAAUUAACAUGGUACCUAGUCUCCCUCCCUACAAAAAACUCAGAGGGGUCAAUAAAGGAAGACACAAAUUAUUCAAGAGAGAAAGAAA
Molecule: long non-coding RNA, 7100 nt
Organism: Mustela lutreola (European mink)
Lineage: Eukaryota; Metazoa; Chordata; Mammalia; Carnivora; Mustelidae
Exons: 3
Source: RefSeq, a predicted model, not a curated record